UCCCCGUUCCUGAGUAGCCUUUUUAACGGAAGCGUAAUCGGAGAGGCCGGGCCGUGGCUGUGGGCAGCGGCCACAUCGUCGGGCGCCUCGGGCUGCUGACCCAGCGCUGCUUGCCUUACCUGUCUGAGCUUCUCAGGGCCCUCCGCGAAGCCUGCCGGGAAGGAGGAGGCCGAGGCCUCGCCGCAGAGCCCCUGGUGCACGGUGCACGCUGCUGACAUGCGCACUAGGGUUUGGGAGGCCCUGCUCGAGCUGCCGCUCCUGCCGCUGCUGGCGUAAAGCCAUCUGCUGACCUUCAAACUUCAAGGACGGGCCGAGUCCACGCGGCCAGGAGCGGGGGCGGCGGUGUCCUGCCUUCGGGCCCUGCCGGCGGGUGGAUCCCGCAGAUGGGAACGUUGCUCCCUGCGCAGCGUGCAUGCGCACCAGGACCGCGGGAGCCCCCGCUUGAAGGGAAGACGACGGCACCCACGGUGGGCACAACUGCGGGGGUGCCUCCGUAAUCUGAAUAAGAGAGUCCACACUGCCAAGGCACACUGAACAUGCGUCAGAUACUCGGGUGCCACGGAAAUGGAUAUUCUUCAUGAAGAUGCAGAGGUGAUCCUUCAUGGUCAGAUGUCUGGGUCACAUAAAACGCAUGUUUUCCAUCUAGUUACCGUGCAGCAUUACUGGAGAAGUUAGAAAGGACACUAAUCACCUGACACUUGAAGAUCAAGACUGGGUUAUGGACGAUGCCUUCUUUACACAAAAGAAUUGAAGCAUGAGGAGGAAUCUAGGCAGAAGUGAGGACAGGAAGCCCUUCUAAAUCAUCUUAGGAGCACUUCAGGAUUUAUACACUUGUAGAAUAUGACCACUGAAGGCCAGUGAAGAGAUGAUCUCCAACCCCAUCCUUUUUCAGAUAAGGAAACUCAUACAGAGAGGUUGCAGCAACAGUCCCAAAACACAGGGUUGUAACUUAUGGCAGAAGGUGGUUCAUGCUUCCUGCAGGUGUUAAAUGACCAAAGGCUUUGAACACAUGGGCUUAUAGUUUUAUAUUGUGUGGUCACAGCCAUGGUGCUUCUAGAACACUAUGAGAAUGGCUUUCACGUUAACCACUCGUGAGUCAAAUAAUGUCAUAUGUGCAGGAAAUAUAAUGCUUUACUAUGUCCUUGAUGAGAUCCAACCUUACAAUUUGUAAAUAGGCCCAACAUGGCUAUUAUAUGAUUACGAGUCAAUUUCAAGGAUUGAUUUUAGAGAUGGAUUUAGUAAUAUCUGUGACAUUUGUGGAACAUGGGGCAUGUUAAGGAAGACGUUGAACAUUUGGGACAGACUUCUGCUAAAGGCGUAAGGAAGGCACAGAAUCAUGGACAUGGAAGCUGAGAGUCUGCCUAAUGAACUUAAGGCUGCAGAAUGAUGUCUUCUCUCUCUUUGAAUAAGAGCAAAGAAAAUACCUUCCAAAUAAGGACUCCUAGAUUUUGGAGUUUGCAUCCAUCCUGCAUUCAUCACAUUUAUUUUACAUCUGACCCCAACUGUUUGCCUAAAUUAGAUUGAAAAUUAAGGAGCAAAAAAAAAAAAAAGAAAAGAAAAGAAUAUUAAGGAGCAAAGGAUGCCCGCAGCAAAGGAACUGCACAUUUUUGGAAGUUUGAGCAAAACAGCAGAUGAAACAUCAGCUGGGCAUCGUGAGCUCGGACUCAUUAAAGCAGGCUGGGAGUCACUAAGAGAAAUAGGCCUAAUCUGUGCAAGAACAGUGAAGACUUAAUUUGUGAGGUAUCCUGGCAUGAACAGAGUUUUCUGCCCCCAGUCUUUGGAAAGUUUCACAGGCUGGGCACCUCUCCUCCACAGCCAACAAUGAUGUUUUGUGUCUUCAUCCCGGCUAAAGGGCCUGGCACACAAACAGCCCAGCCUAUUCAUUCCUGGAGCAAUUUUACAUAUGCGAGACCGAAGCCAAGAUGAAUGUCUUCUUCCCGAUGUGCUCAAUUCAACCACAUUCUGGAAAUAGAGAAAACGGAAGAGCAAUGAUCAUCAGAAGGCAAGACGGUGAUUGUUAAAAGCCAACUCUAUUUUUAUCUCCAGCACCUUGCUGAAAAAUCGAUCUGGAGGCCAGCAACAGAGCAUUCAGUGUCUGCGGAAGGCCCGCUCCCUGCUUUGAGGACAGCCGUCUUCUCACUGUGUCCUCACACGGAUGGAGCUGCUGAGGUUUGCCAGGCAUCCAAGACCUUGCUCUCGACGCAUAACCUCUGAGCCCCAUGCAGCCCGCAGCAAGAGACCCAAGGCUGUUCUCAAAACAGUGCACCUGCUUAAGCCAUCUGUGAGUCCAAACAGAUCCAAUUUCCCUUGCACUUCAUUUAUACUAACAACAAUCACAUGGGUGAAGUUGAAUUCUUCAAUCAAGGCAUCGAUGGGGACAUAACUGGAUCAACCCCAAGUAAUCUACACAGAUAGUGUGCGUAAAAACAUUUAUAUGCAGAAAUCCACUGAAAUCUUCUACUGCUUCGCUCAUUUCAGAAAUGAGGAAACUAAAGCACCUGAUCACAUAAGGUGACCUGCCUCUUAUAAGGUCACUGGAAGACUUACAGACUCAAUGAAAAAUAUUCUACAACAUCCACAUAUAAUUGCUACUCAACCCAGUUUUCAUCUGUUAAAUAUGUCCAUUUGAGAAGGGCAUAUUAGCAUUAGCUACAUCCUGAAUAGAUCAUAUCUUUUAAGAUCCCGUGCUUUAAAAAAAAAAAAAGGUGAUGGUGCCUGCAGUUGAAAGUACCGUGAUAAUAUGCCACUGGGUAAGUAUUGUUCAAGAGUAAACCAACCUUCCUGACCAUUCAUUUAUUAAGUCAGAUACUUAAGUUCUAAUUUGGACAAAUUAGCUAGUAGAAUUACUCUAUCCUUUGUACUCAAUAUCUGGGAUAUAUUUCUAUGACUGUCUUUAUCCUGAGGGUUACAAUAAAGCUUUGGUAAUGUCCUGAAUCUUGA
Nyctereutes procyonoides (raccoon dog) is the source of this 2940-nucleotide long non-coding RNA. RefSeq lists it as uncharacterized. NCBI's taxonomy places the organism in Eukaryota, Metazoa, Chordata, Mammalia, Carnivora, Canidae. The record is from RefSeq and is a predicted model, not a curated record. The transcript has 13 exons.